CCUAGCGCGCUCGCCGAAGCCGCUUCCCACGGCGGACUGGGGUCUAGCUCUUUCCUUUUAGUGGUCUGCCCUUUUCCCCGCCUCCCCACCCGGAGGAAGCCCUGGAGGCUGGAUCCCGCGGGGCGGCUUCCCAGCCGCCGGCGUCCGGGGACUGGAGGCGCAGGGCACACCCGGGCAGCGGGCGCGGGGUGCGGGCUGCGCUCCCCUGCGCGCGGGAGUCGCGGAAGGAGAAGGAGCUAGUGAGUUUCUUCUCGCCUCCGGGGCCCCGUCAGCGCCUGCACUCUGCGGCGCUCAGUAAAUAUUUGUUGAAUGAAUGAGCAGUGCGCUCCGGAGCUCACCCCAGAACUUCAACAGACACCACAAGAGCCGGAAGCCCGGCUCCAGCGCAGACGCGUUCUGGAGCCACCGGGUGCAGCUUUGAAAGCAGGACUUUUGGCUACUGGUAAAUAGGGAACUGGUGCAAUGGAGAAGGGCGCUUUAGAAGUAUCAAGUCGUUUCCUAGGGGAUCCUCUGUGGGGAAAUUAUGUAAAAAGCCCUAAUUUGGAAAUCCAGUAUUCGAAAACACCGGGACUCCUCCCCAGCUGAAGGAAUGCAGAUUUUCACGCUCGGGAGAAAAGUCCGCCCAGCACUCCCUUUUCCAACUGGCUAGCGGCCCCGAGAGCACCCCUGAGGAAAAGAGGCCCGGGCACAGCCCAGUGCGUCUUCCUUCACUCCUAUUUUAUCGGUGACUAUCCAAAAGCAAGGACUGCGCAUUGGAACCGCCUUAGGCUGCAGGUGGCGCCCUCUCUGGCUCCCUUCCACUGCCCCCUGGAGAGACCUGGAGAAUGAGAAGAUGGGGUAGUUGUCCUGGCUGUUCCUUUGCUGCCUCGCACUUAGAAGGAAAGUUGGGAACAGAGUGAAUAGCCAAUAAUUUCACUGUCUGAGAAAAUACCUCUUGCAAGAAAUUAUAUUGUCCUUGGAGUCUGUAGAGAUUUUCUUGCCUAUUUGGAGCAUGGAAGGAAGAAAAACAUGUAGUAAAGGAUAUUUACACAUGAGCGGAGAAUUAGUGCACUUUGGUGAUUUUUUUUAAUGUGUGUGUGUGUGUGUGUG
RNAcentral lists this long non-coding RNA (1089 nucleotides) under Marmota monax (woodchuck). The record is from RNAcentral. Lineage: Eukaryota; Metazoa; Chordata; Mammalia; Rodentia; Sciuridae.